AGGAGCAACAGCCCUAGUGGCGGGGCCAGCUCUGGAGCCCUGGAGUCAGCCCCCGCAGGAACUCCAGAGCUCUCCGUCUGCAGGGCCUGGAGGCUCCGGGGCGGG
Molecule: microRNA precursor, 105 nt
Filed under: Canis lupus familiaris (dog)
Lineage: Eukaryota; Metazoa; Chordata; Mammalia; Carnivora; Canidae
Also listed under: 1 other name
Description: mir-8834 microRNA precursor family
Rfam family: mir-8834 microRNA precursor family
Source: Rfam by way of RNAcentral